GAUGAAGAACGCAGCGAAAUGCGAUAAGUAAUGUGAAUUGCAGAAUUCAGUGAAUCAUCGAAUCUUUGAACGUACCUUGCGCUCCUUGGUAUUCCGAGGAGCAUGCCUGUUUGAGUGUCAUGAAAUUCUCAACCUUUUCAGCUUUCUUUGUUGAUCAGGCUUGGAUGUGGGAGUAUGCGGGCUUCUCAGAAGUCGGCUCUCCUGAAAUGCAUUAGCGGGACCUUUGUUGCCUGGCUUUGGUGUGAUAAUUAUCUACGCCAUUGUAGUCAAGCAGCUUAAAAUGAGGUUUCAGCUUCUAACCGUCUCCCCUGAGACAACUUUUUGACAAUUUGACCUCAAAUCAGGUAGGACUACCCGCUGAACUUAAGCAUAUCAAUAAGCGGAGGA
This 387-nucleotide unclassified non-coding RNA is filed under the name soil metagenome. RNAcentral's name for it is "partial contains 5.8S ribosomal RNA, internal transcribed spacer 2, and large subunit ribosomal RNA". The stretch from base 1 to 120 matches the Rfam family "5.8S ribosomal RNA", at positions 35 to 154 of the family's 154-position model. The record is from RNAcentral.